GAUUUGAAUUUCUUGGUGAAUUUAUUUUCAACAAACUUAUGAAAAUUAACAAAGCAUUGAAAUAAUUCAGAUUUCUUUCUCAAGAGAAAUAUCCAGGAAAACCUUGAAAACUCAUCAAUGAACAAAGCAUAAUACAGAAAACCUUGUACUGACAAGACUGGGGCUGGACCCCAUAAGUCACAAUGAAUUCUACUAAACAGAUUAUUAGUAGUUUCAUGAGAAUUAGCAGAAGGCAAUCGACAUGAUUUGCCCAUUUGACAACUAGAGCAUAGAGUAGCUGCUUUAUUGACUGAGUUUCCAUGAAUGAGAUUAUUCUUUUGAAGAAAAUCCACUAUCUUGCACUGAGGAUGUCCCAAUCGUUGAUGCCAAACUUCAGCACUACCUUUGCGGAAUUGGUUUGAGAAGAAAGCAAACUAUCUACUGUCAUCAGGUAUCACCGAAUAGAUGUCCCCCACUGUGUUUUCCUGCAGCAAUCAGUUCUCCUGUUUUUCUACUUUUAAUACAAAGUCCUGUAGAUGAGAAUUCAACAAGACAAGGAAGAUUAUCAGUUAACUUUGCAAUAGACAUUAUAUUUUUCUUUAUCUUAGUUACAACCAGCACAUCUUUGAGUGAAACUUUGUUAUAAUUAACUAUUAGAUUAGUUGAAACAACAUGAGUGAUGUCAAGUCUCUGUCCAUUGCCAACCAUAAUUUUGUCUGAUCCGAAGUAUUUAUUAAUAGAAGAGAGUUUACUAGGAUCAUGAGUCAUAUGUGAGCUUGCUCCAGUAUCUGGAAGCCAUUGAUCUCUUGAGAAUUGUUAAGAGUUAUAGCAGCUAAGGCCUGUGGAAUUUUCUUAUAUUGAUAAGCUUUAUUAAAUCUGUUGUAACACUCAAGAGCUGUAUGGCAUGGUAUAUUGCAUAUUUGGCAACAAAUCAGCAUAUUGCCUUUGUGAGCCAAUGACAAGGAGGAGGAAGAAAUUCAAAUGGAAGUGGCAAAUUUCUGGGUAAUCAAUUGACCUCCAGAGGAAAAGGCUUCACUCUAACAACUUCAUCUUUAUCUAACAAACUAACAUCUAACAUCUUCAUCUUUAUCUAACGAAU
This 1078-nucleotide unclassified non-coding RNA is filed under the name Hevea brasiliensis (rubber tree). The record is from RNAcentral. Lineage: Eukaryota; Viridiplantae; Streptophyta; Magnoliopsida; Malpighiales; Euphorbiaceae.